CUAAGUGAUCUUGACCUAGAGACAAACUUAUCACACACACUUCUUUCUGCCCUCUGUUUCGCAAAGAAAAUCAUCCUGAACUGGAAAACUAAAAAGAAAUUAAACAUUACUCAGUACUUGAACAGUCUGUUAGGUAACACCACCUUAGACAUAUUGUAUGCUUGCUCAAAUCAAUAACCGACACUAUACUCUCAUCGAUUCCAUUUCUAGGUAGAGAUGUGUGGAGCUCAGGUGCUGCACCGUGCCUGAGCGGUGGUGGGGGGGUGCCUGGUGGUUGGGAGUGCCUGCCUGCCUGCCUGCCUAAGGAACUGGGGCAACGGGGCUGGUGGAUUCUUCAUAUUCAUUCAUAUGUGUGAUGCUCGUCCCACCCUGACGGUGCUGCCUCCCUCCAGGGAGGAGCUGCAGCAGGAGAAGGUCACGCUCACGUGUCUGGCCAACAAGGGCUUCCCCUCAGACUGGACUCUGUCCUGGAAGCUGGACGGCAGCGGCAGCAGCAGCAGCUCUGACCAGAGCAGGAGCCCUGGGGUUCUGGAGAAGGACGGACUCUACAGCUGGAGCAGCACCAUGAUUUACUGAUACUCUACUGCUGGUUCUACUCUCUUACUAGUCUCAUUUCAGUUUGUGUAGCUCUGUCUCUGUCUCAUUUCUGUAAUGCUUGGGAACAACAAAGAUUUUAUUUGGUAUAUCUUAUUUGGAUGGAUCACUUUUGUGUUUUUUUUAGUCUUUUUUUUCCUUUAUAAUAUAUGUAUUACAUAAAACAUAUGAGAGAAGAAGGAGAAGUAAAUUAUACCAUUACUGGGCAAAUCCCUAAAUUAAUGAAGCCAGGCGUUCAACUUCAUAGCCACGUUCACGUCUACUUCCUGUUUUAUUCUUAGCUCACUUCCUGUUCUGCCAUCAGAAUUAGUUUCUGCUUUACUUCCGGAGCUCAUUGGCCAGCACCUGCUACCUGUUGAUAAUUACCUCCUCUGCAUUUAAGCACCAGCCGUAACCAGUUGCCAGAUUGUCUGUGUGGUUUUUGCCAGCUUCCCAGCGUUACUAUUACUUUGUCUACCGUGCAUUACUCUAGCCUACCCGACCUUGUUUCCGUCCAGCCUUUGACACAUCCCUACUUGUGAGUUUGACCUACGCCUUUUAAUUGACCACCGAGUGCCUAGUCUUGGUUGCUCCUGUUCUGCUUUCACUGUACCGACUCCUGCAUGUUCGACCAAGAUUCUGA
Molecule: non-coding RNA, 1216 nt
Organism: Betta splendens (Siamese fighting fish)
Lineage: Eukaryota; Metazoa; Chordata; Actinopteri; Anabantiformes; Osphronemidae
Source: the annotation of a RefSeq genome assembly